This is a long non-coding RNA of Oreochromis niloticus (Nile tilapia), 4843 nucleotides long. RefSeq lists it as uncharacterized. The transcript has 3 exons. The record is from RefSeq and is a predicted model, not a curated record. Lineage: Eukaryota; Metazoa; Chordata; Actinopteri; Cichliformes; Cichlidae.
CCAGUCCGCUCGCCAUCAGUAACGUCUGCUGUCAGCCUCAACAAUUAUUGUCACAAUAUUUCCAAUCGGCAGAUGCAGACUGCUGCUGUCAUUCUGUGUGACAUGUGAAAUAUUGUGACAGUCAGGGAGGAACAGGAAAUAAACUGAUUGAAAUGAUUACUGCACAGCAAAACAGAUAUUUUCAUGGUUCUGGGCUGGCUUCUCCAGCCUUGGAGUGGAUCUGCAAAGAAAUCAAAACGGGAAUAUUUGAACUCUAAUCAUGAAUGCAAACCGAGCAGCUCUUCCGUCUCCUCCCUCUGCGGCUUUCUUCUAACGCUAGCUGACGUUUUGCCUCUUCUUCUUUUCUGCUGGCAGCAGUGAACCUGCUGGAUUUACAGCGUCCAACACUCCCACUUCAGCAGCAGUAACAUGAGCGCACUGGCCUUCAUAUGUUAUAUACUGACAGUACUCUGAGGCCUGGCACUCGUCUACAAGUGCAUAUGUUUACAGCAGAGGAGCAUAAGGCUGCCCCCUGUUGGUUAACCAUGUGAAGUUUCCACCUCAUGUUAGGAGACUGCAAUAAUUUCAUUUGUACAAAUGCAUGUGUGCUUUUACAUUGACCAUGUGUGCAUACAUCAGUGGGCAGUCCCAGGAGAAAGUUUUAUUUACGUUUUCCAUCUUUUUUUGCAGAAUUUGACACUUUUAAAAAUACAUUAAAGAAGUCAAGAGUAUAUGUGCACCUUUUUAGUUGACCUGUUCUAGUCAAGCUUUUAUUUGUUAUCAGGUUUGAUAAAAAUAAAAAAUAAAAUCAGGAUUAAAAUCACGAAAACUCAGUUUCUACAAAAGCUUGUAUGCUCUGUGAAAUGAAAACAAGAUUGAUUGUGGGUACUUUAAUCAUUUCAAGGCUAAAUCUGAGUGCAGAGUGUGCUUCGGCACUGUCUUGCUGAAAUGAGCAAGACUUUCAGUGACAAAGAAACGCUGCAGAUGUAUCGCUCCACAGACUGUGUACAUCAUUGAGCAUGCGCGGUGCCUUCACACGUGAGCCUGCAGUGAUGAGCGCUCACUGGCUCUCAGGCCACAGAAUGCAGCAUCUGUAAUUUCCAGAGAUGUUGUAAUUAGUCAGACCACAGGGAGUUUUUCAGUAAAUAAAGUGCUUCCAUUUCUGAAUCAUAUUUAUUUAUGUGUUUUCUAUGCAUGAGAGGUUUCAAACUUGCAUUUGUCGAUGGUUUCUGAGUGAGCUGUGUUCACUGCUGAGUGCUGCUCCUGAGCAUGUUCGUUAUUGGUUUUCAGCAUUUUCCUGUGCUUAAUGUUAUCUCACAUCUUAACUGUGUUGGUGAGUAGUUUAGGAACAUUUCACACAACGCUUAAUGCUUCUGCAUCUGCCUUUGCUGCAGAACGACUGUCGGCCAGCUUUGCUCUGGGUCAGUACGCCAUCAGGUUACUGACAUCACACAGAAAAACCUUCUGACGGUGCUAAUUACUACAAAAUGUUUGUGCACCGUUUCCAGUUGAACAUUUAUGAUUUUCGCAGAAAUCCAGUCAGCACAGGUCAGACGUCCUCUUCCUGAACCUUUCUUUUCGCCAUCCCCGUUGCCAUAGCAACGACCUCCCGACCUCAGCUGCGACAGUCUGAUGUGACAGGUGUCAAUCAAGCUCUCCGGCCGGGAGCGUGUCGUGCCCGUCGUUGCCCCACCCAGCGGCCGUGUUUGUUUCAGGCUCUGCAGACCUGCUGCUGCAGGUUUGUUUGCAGUCCUGCUGCUUUGUUGUCGUGCACGUGGGCUACAGCGUGACAGAUCUGGGUCUCUCUUGACGUACCGCUUGGCUGGCCGGGUGCAGAUUCCUGGCCGUUACCAGCAGAUAACAAAUACUUGGAGAGAGCGGAAUGGGAUGGGUGGCACCUGAGCUGGAUGCAAAGUUUCAUUAGCCAGGUGGAUGGAGUUUAUUAUUUUGCCUUUUGCACAUUUAUCCACACGCGUGUGAAGUUUAACCAUACUUGUAUUUGAGCCUACAUGCCUCAGCGUGCACGCGUGUGCGCCUUUGUCUGCCUGCUGCAGGCUCUCACCAUCAAAGCAGGCUAAUAUUAGCACCUCACAGAAGACUGGCUCUAUCUGGACACAAAGCAGGUGAUAAAUGAGGAUUGCUGCAUUGUGUGUGUGUGUUGCGUGUGCGCACGUACGCGAACGUGUCAACGGGGAGACUGUAAAAUAUGUAGCAUGAUUAUUUUUCACAACGGCCGGCUUACGGAGGUGGAUCGUGCUGCAGAUCCAGAUGCUCGGUUUUCUACUGCAGCUGCAUUGCGAAGCAGCAUGACGUGCCUUCCGCCAGACGGGAGAUUAGCCGGGCUGCAGAUGCAGUCGGUCGAUCGCUCGCAGAAGAAAAGCAAGAGGGCAGUGUGGUCUCGGGGAUUUUUCUUUUCUUCCUUUUUUUCCUCUCUCCUUCCCAGCCUCUCCGGGCCCCGUCGCUGAUUUGAGCCUGCAGCCAGCUGUAGGUCGCUGCUCUCCUUCGCUUCGCUCCAUCUGUCCCUCCCCCCAUCACCUCUCCUCUUUUUCUCCCUCCCUCCUCCCUCCCUCUCUCUCCCUCUCACUCUCUCUCCAUACCAAAGCCUGGGGGAGCCAGUGGAGAUUAAAUGUAGCCUGUAUAAGCCAAAGCACAUCAUGUAGCAAUGUUUCUAUGGCCCCUCUCGCUCUCUCUGAGAGGAUAGUGUGAAAGAGGUCGGCUGGUGUGAGGCGCAGAAUAAGACAGCAGACAGAAAGACGGGAAAAGUGGAUUUUUGUUGGUUUUUCUUUGCAUGCCAGCAAAAGAGGGGAUUUGUUUUCUGUUUGGAAAAUGGACAGCAGCGAGGUGGGAGAAAAAAAGGGGAAAAGGACGACUUUCUCUUGCCCCUACCUCACCCCCGCCCCCCACCCCCUUACCCCGUCUGAUACAGAGGAAAAGUGGGCCUCUGGCUGUAAGCGAUUACAGCUGUGAGGCAAAUUAAUGGAUGAUCUCUCCCUCUCUCCUCGUUCUCCUUCGAUCAGCACGGGCAGGAGAAAGAAAAAGACUGAGGGAGACGCUCUGGGAAGGAAGAGAAGGGAGAGGGAGGUAUGCUUUUUCUUUUUCUCCUGUCUUCCCUCCUUUCCACCUCUGCAUGUGAUUGGAAAGAUAAAGCGGAGCGAGACAAGAGAUCAGCAGGCACAUUGGUUUUUGUCCCUUAACUUGGGUGUGCGUGCACGUCCUCCCCCUUUGUCGCCAACCUGCGCCUGGGACCUGCAGGUUUGGAUACAAAGCAGUGAGCUCGGAGAGCAGCGAGCGAUUGGGGCAUCCUGGAUCCAAAGGGGAGGCAGAAAAUCCUGCAGGAUCUGCAGUGGAUGUGGAUCUGCAGGAUGUACGCGCCGACCUGGACGAGGCACCUUCGACUUUCUGUUCAAACUGAACAGGUGUCCUCUGACGUGUGUUCAUGAAGAACAUUCAGAGCUGCGAUCCUUCUUUGGCGUCUGUUACCUUCAAUGUGAAAUAGAGGGCGCGAUUUAAAGCUUAAAACUCUGUCCCAGUGCGUACUGGAGCUGUCUGAGGUGCAAUAAACUUCCAUCUAAUUCCUGUCUCAGUGAACUUUCUUGGUAUUGUAGCUGCAUGCUGCUCUGCUCAUCUGUGGUGGCUGUGAUGCUUUUGUUGUAGCCUUCACAAUGUGCUUCCAGUGGAAACGAAGCGAAGAGCAGAAUUUGUAUCAUGUGUGAAUUUCCUGUUAGAUCAUUUAACAAAGCCGGCGUUUUUUUAUAACCGACACGAUACUGAAACAUGCUGCUUCUCAGAUUUAAGCCAAGCUACUGAACAGCACUGCAGCUCGACAUACUGUACAGAGCCUGUUACGACCUGCCCAGCAGUCUCGUGUGACUCAAUUCACCAUUUUUUCUCCAAACCCAGUUUUCCGACUGGUUAAUGUGCUCCAUUAAUCCACACACACGUGUGUUUUUGGAUAUUUCCAGAUGAUCCAGUUGUGCUAUUUUUAGAUAUUAUAUUCUGAUGUAAACUCCUGUGUUAUCUCAGUUUGUGGAAUUAUUUGUUUAUUUCAAACCGACGCCACGUUUGUUCAUAUAGAUAUUUCAGUUUCUUCUGAAUAAAUAUAGAAGUUUUUUCCUUCUUAUGUGUCUAAAUAAAACCUCACUGCUGUCAUUUCACGUGAUUGUCAAUUCUUUCAACUCUUACACUUAUUAAUAGAAGCUCUGUGUGAAGCGUGAGAUUUGACCAUCUAACGUGUUUUUAUUUCAUCUUUGGGAGUAUUUUUAUACUCUUUUUUUCAUAGAUCUAUUAAAGCUCCGACUGUUGUUUUUGUUUCUGUGAGUUAUGGAGACGUGUUACAGGAUCUUCUUAAAAACAAUAAAUUAGAUAAGACAGCUGACGAGGACGAUGUCAGUCUUCUUUCAGCUCUGUCCAUAUGUCUUUAAAUGAGACAUUUUUAUAUUGUUGUGAAACAUGAGUCUGUUUCUGACUGGACCUACAUUAAUGUUUGGAUGGUUUAUUAAAAGUGUGCAGAUAUCAAUAAGUGUUUUUUUUCUUGCUUUUAGAGGAAAAUCAGCACAUUCUUGGUUUCAGUGUAGCGGUUGUAUUUUACAUGCGGUGCUCGGCCUUCGUUGUGUAACAGCUUCUAAAUGACUUUGUCUCUCUCUCUCUUGCAGCCUUUUAGACCAGGUCAGGACAUGUCGGGGAACAGUUGAUGAACAUGAGACGCAUAUAACAACCAGCUGCCCACACACCGUGUAGACAUCUUUGUUUUAUAUCUUAUAGUUUGACCAGGACAUGUGUGUGAUCUGUGACAGUAGCAGCUGCUUUUUAAUGCUUCACAUGUCUCUGUAAUAUAAACAUGUAAAUAAAGUAUUAAUGAAAUGUC